This 537-nucleotide ribosomal RNA is filed under the name uncultured bacterium. Its description in RNAcentral is "bacterial SSU rRNA". It matches the Rfam family "Bacterial small subunit ribosomal RNA", at positions 56 to 606 of the family's 1533-position model. The record is from RNAcentral.
UGCAAGUCGAACGAGAACGGAACUAGCUUGCUAGUUUGUCAGCUAAGUGGCGCACGGGUGAGUAAUAUAUAGUUAAUCUGCCCCAAAGAAGAGAAUAAUUGUUGGAAACGACUUGUAAUGCUCUAUAUGCCUUUAUUACAUAAGUAAGCAAGGGAAACAUUUAUGGCUUUGGGAUGAGACUGUACGGUAUCAGCUAGUUGGUGAGGUAAUGGCUCACCAAGGCUAUGACAUCUAACUGGUUUGAGAGGAUGAUCAGUCACACUGGAACUGAGACACGGUCCAGACUCCUACGGGAGGCAGCAGUGGGGAAUAUUGCACAAUGGAGGAAACUCUGAUGCAGCAACGCCGCGUGGAGGACGACACAUUUCGGUGCGUAAACUCCUUUUAUAUGAGAAGAUAAUGACGGUAUCAUAUGAAUAAGCACCGGCUAACUCCGUGCCAGCAGCCGCGGUAAUACGGGGGGUGCAAGCGUUACUCGGAAUCACUGGGCGUAAAGAGAAUGUAGGCUGGUUAUUAAGUUGGAAGUGAAAUCCUAUG